RNAcentral lists this long non-coding RNA (511 nucleotides) under Elaeis guineensis (African oil palm). RNAcentral's name for it is "long non-coding RNA (EGUI_LNC002516)". Lineage: Eukaryota; Viridiplantae; Streptophyta; Magnoliopsida; Arecales; Arecaceae. The record is from RNAcentral.
GUAAGGACCUGAGCAUUUUUCUCACAAGAUCACUGUUAGAAUAAUAUUUGCCAAGACUUUUUAAAUCAUUUAUGAUGUCAGUGAAAUAAGUGAAUAUUUGAAUUAUUGAUUCUUCAGGUUCUAUUUUAAAUAGUUCGUAGUUAUGCACAAACAUAUUGAUCUUAGAUUCUUUUACUUGAUUUGUGCCUUCGUGUGUGACUUCUAAUCUAUCCCAAAUUUUUUUAGCUAAAUUUCAUAUGAAAAUAUGAUUAAAUUCAUUAGCAUCCAAAGUAUAAUAUAAAAUAUUCAUGGCUUUAGCAUUGAGCUGAGCUAUUUUCUUAUCAAUUUCAUCCCAUUCACCUUCCGGCUUAGGGAGAGACACACCAUCAAUUAAUUUAGUGGAUGUGUGUGGUCUAUUUACUAUGACACUCUAUAUGUCAUAGUCAAGUGCUUGUAUGAAAAUUUUUAUCUGAGCUUUUUAAUAGGUGUAGUUUGAUCCAUUGAAAAGUGGAGGUCAAUUUGUGGAUUGCCC